RNAcentral lists this ribosomal RNA (472 nucleotides) under Escherichia coli. RNAcentral describes it as "partial 23S ribosomal RNA". It matches the Rfam family "Bacterial large subunit ribosomal RNA", at positions 1 to 512 of the family's 2925-position model. Lineage: Bacteria; Pseudomonadati; Pseudomonadota; Gammaproteobacteria; Enterobacterales; Enterobacteriaceae. The record is from RNAcentral.
GGUUAAGCGACUAAGCGUACACGGUGGAUGCCCUGGCAGUCAGAGGCGAUGAAGGACGUGCUAAUCUGCGAUAAGCGUCGGUGAGGUGAUAUGAACCGUUAUAACCGGCGAUUUCCGAAUGGGGAAACCCAGUGUGUUUCGACACACUAUCAUUAACUGAAUCCAUAGGUUAAUGAGGCGAACCGGGGGAACUGAAACAUCUAAGUACCCCGAGGAAAAGAAAUCAACCGAGAUUCCCCCAGUAGCGGCGAGCGAACGGGGAGGAGCCCAGAGCCUGAAUCAGUGUGUGUGUUAGUGGAAGCGUCUGGAAAGGCGCGCGAUACAGGGUGACAGCCCCGUACACAAAAAUGCACAUAUUGUGAGCUCGAUGAGUAGGGCGGGACACGUGGUAUCCUGUCUGAAUAUGGGGGGACCAUCCUCCAAGGCUAAAUACUCCUGACUGACCGAUAGUGAACCAGUACCGUGAGGGAAA